AGAGAGAGAGCAAUAUGAAAAGGACACUAAGGAAAGGCUAUUCGAUAAUUUAAUCGACAUUGGAAUAAAAUUUAGUAGCUCAUUGAAAAAUAAUAUAUAUAUAUAUAAGAGUGAUAGAGAGAGAGAGAGAACAAUAUGAAAAGGACACUAAGGAAAGGUUAUUAGAUAAUUUAAUCGAUAUUGGAAUAAAAUUUAAUAGCUCCUUGUAAAACAAUAUAUAUAUAAGAGAGAGAGAGAGAGAGAGAGAGAGAGAGAGCAAUAUGAAAAGGACACUAAGGAAAGGCUAUUAGAUAAUUUAAUCGACAUUGGAAUAAAAUUUAAUAGCUCCUUGUAAAACAAUAUAUAUAUAUAAGAGAGAGAGAGAGAGAGAGAGAGAGAGAGAGAG
This 385-nucleotide long non-coding RNA is filed under the name Lathyrus oleraceus (garden pea). Its description in RNAcentral is "Pisum sativum (pea) long non-coding RNA (PSAT_LNC011161)". Lineage: Eukaryota; Viridiplantae; Streptophyta; Magnoliopsida; Fabales; Fabaceae. The record is from RNAcentral.